CCUACGUGCGGCAGCAGUAGGGAAUCUUCCGCAAUGGACGCAAGUCUGACGGAGCAACGCCGCGUGAGUGAAGAAGGAUUUCGGUUCGUAAAACUCUGUUGUUAGAGAAGAACAGCGCAUAGAGUAACUGUUAUGCGUGUGACGGUAUCUAACCAGAAAGUCACGGCUAACUACGUGCCAGCAGCCGCGGUAAUACGUAGGUGGCAAGCGUUGUCCGGAUUUAUUGGGCGUAAAGCGAGCGCAGGCGGUCAAUUAAGUCUGAUGUGAAAGCCCCCGGCUCAACCGGGGAGGGUCAUUGGAAACUGGUUGACUUGAGUGCAGAAGAGGAGAGUGGAAUUCCAUGUGUAGCGGUGAAAUGCGUAGAUAUAUGGAGGAACACCAGUGGCGAAGGCGACUCUCUGGUCUGUAACUGACGCUGAGGCUCGAAAGCGUGGGUAGCAAACAGGAUUAGAUACCCCAGUAGUC
RNAcentral lists this ribosomal RNA (465 nucleotides) under uncultured Granulicatella sp. RNAcentral describes it as "bacterial SSU rRNA". It matches the Rfam family "Bacterial small subunit ribosomal RNA", at positions 338 to 795 of the family's 1533-position model. Lineage: Bacteria; Bacillati; Bacillota; Bacilli; Lactobacillales; Carnobacteriaceae. The record is from RNAcentral.